Molecule: non-coding RNA, 1062 nt
Organism: Microcebus murinus (gray mouse lemur)
Lineage: Eukaryota; Metazoa; Chordata; Mammalia; Primates; Cheirogaleidae
Source: RefSeq, a predicted model, not a curated record
CUAUCAUGCGGACUGUGAGCGCCAGCUGUGGGCAAGGUUUCUCGGCCGGUGAACACAGUCCCGAAGUGGUUAAAGAGUUAAUCAUCGGUUUGCCCACUCCCUCCACAGAGAGUCUCUGGUUUCCCAGUGUGGAGGCCAGUUCUGGUCACUGUAGGGUGAGGGUGGGCCACAUUCUCAGGUGCUCACCACCUAGGGGGACAUUCAGGGACCCAGAUCCUCAGAGAGAUCCUAGCUGUCAUCAGCUGUGGCCCCAUCAUUCUCCCACUCUAUGUCCAGGCUUCUGCCUUGCCCUCACCCCGUCAGUGUGUCAGCACCUGUAGCCUUCUGAUUCUACUCCAGAACUGUCCCUCCUUUCAUUCCUCAGUCCUCCCUCCUGGCAGAUUCUGGUCUCCCUGCUUCCCCUCCCUCCACACUGAAGCCACUGUGGUCUAGCUCAGUCCCUGCCUCACUCUUCUUCACAGGUGGGGCUGUGGCCCAAUGCCCCCACUGGCAUCAAAGCGCUCUGCGGCUGGGUGUCUCACCCACCUCUUGCCCGUCCAGCCCCACUCCUAGCUCAGGUCGUGUGGAGGUCAUUGGGAGUGCCUUCCCUCCACCUUUGCCUACCACAUCUCCAAGGCUAAGGCCAGUGACCAGCUGGCCUCGCCCCUCUGCUGGCUGUACCUCUCCCUCCCCCAGUCUAAGGCAGCUCCAGUGCUUCAUUCAAGGACAAUCACAGUCCAGUGCCAAGACAGUGCCAGGAGCAUGGAACACUCAAGGAACUGCUCCGAGAGCGAAUGAGCGAGUGAGAGCAGGAAUGAAGGCAUGCUGUCUGCCUGGAGUGCAGGACAAUUCCCGCAACCUUUGAGGAUUUUCACAGCCGUCACUGGGAGUGUGUUUGCCCAGCUCAACAUCCAUCUCAAGCAUAUUUUAUAUUUUACAUACCAGGAACCUUUCAAAAAGUAUGUGUUAUAUACUAAAUAGUGGGGGUUUUCUCUCAAUGACAGUUUAUUGUCCUUAUUUUUCUGUUUUUUUCCGCAUUGUUCUGUGCAGACUAGGACUAUAGUAUAGCGAUCCCACUGUACA